Molecule: transfer RNA, 61 nt
Filed under: Brachyuropus grewingkii
Lineage: Eukaryota; Metazoa; Arthropoda; Malacostraca; Amphipoda; Acanthogammaridae
Description: tRNA-His
Source: RNAcentral
GCUAGGAUAGUUUAUUAAAAUAUUACAUUGUGGUUGUAAAGAUAUAUUUGUAUUUUUAGCA